AAUGAACGCUGGCGGCGUGCCUAACACAUGCAAGUCGAGCGAGAAAGUCUCUUCGGAGAUAAAGUACAGCGGCGGACGGGUGAGUAACGCGUGAGAAUUUACCCUUUAGUGAAGAAUACCUCUGAGAAAUCAGGGUUAAUACUGCAUACGUCCCUACGGGAGAAAGGUGGCCUCUUUGCUGCCGCUAAAGGAUAAGCUUGCGUACUAUUAGCUAGUUGGUGAGGUAAAGGCUCACCAAGGCGAUGAUGGUUAGCCGGCCUGAGAGGGUGUACGGCCACACUGGAACUUAGACACGGUCCAGACUCCUACGGAGGCAGCAGUGAGGAAUAUUGCGCAAUGGGCGAAAGCCUGACGCAGCGACGCCGCGUGGAGGAUGAAGGUCUUCGGAUUGUAAACUCCUGUUAAGUGGAAGAAAGACCUAUUUCUAAUACAGAUAGGGGAUGACGGUA
Molecule: ribosomal RNA, 449 nt
Filed under: uncultured bacterium
Lineage: Bacteria
Description: bacterial SSU rRNA
Rfam family: Bacterial small subunit ribosomal RNA
Source: RNAcentral